Molecule: ribosomal RNA, 433 nt
Filed under: uncultured bacterium
Lineage: Bacteria
Description: partial 16S ribosomal RNA
Rfam family: Bacterial small subunit ribosomal RNA
Source: RNAcentral
AACGAACGCUGGCGGCAUGCCUAACACAUGCAAGUCGAACGAUACCUUCGGGUCUAGUGGCGCACGGGUGCGUAACGCGUGGGAACCUGCCCUUAGGUUCGGAAUAACUCCCCGAAAGGGGUGCUAAUCCCGGAUAAUGUCUUCGGACCAAAGAUUUAUCGCCUUUGGAUGGGCCCGCGUUGGAUUAGCUAGUUGGUAGGGUAAAAGCCUACCAAGGCGACGAUCCAUAGCUGGUCUGAGAGGAUGAUCAGCCACACUGGGACUGAGACACGGCCCAGACUCCUACGGGAGGCAGCAGUGGGGAAUAUUGGACAAUGGGCGAAAGCCUGAUCCAGCAAUGCCGCGUGAGUGAUGAAGGCCUUAGGGUUGUAAAGCUCUUUUACCCGGGAUGAUAAUGACAGUACCGGGAGAAUAAGCUCCGGCUAACUCCGUG